GACGAACGCUGGCGGCGUGCCUAAUACAUGCAAGUAGAACGCUGAAGAGAGGAGCUUGCUCUUCUUGGCUGAGUUGCGAACGGGUGAGUAACGCGUAGGUAACCUGCCUUGUAGCGGGGGAUAACUAUUGGAAACGAUAGCUAAUACCGCAUAACAAUGGAUGACACAUGUCAUUUAUUUGAAAGGGGCAAUUGCUCCACUACAAGAUGGACCUGCGUUGUAUUAGCUAGUAGGUGAGGUAAUGGCUCACCUAGGCGACGAUACAUAGCCGACCUGAGAGGGUGAUCGGCCACACUGGGACUGAGACACGGCCCAGACGCCUACGGGAGGCAGCAGUAGGGAAUCCUCGGCAAUAGGGGCAACCCUGACCGAGCAACGCCGCGUGAGUGAAGAAGGUUUUCGGAUCGUAAAGCUCUGUUGUAAGUCAAGAACGGGUGUGAGAGUGGAAAGUUCACACUGUGACGGUAGCUUACCAGAAAGGGACGGCUAACUACGUG
Molecule: ribosomal RNA, 497 nt
Filed under: uncultured bacterium
Lineage: Bacteria
Description: partial 16S ribosomal RNA
Rfam family: Bacterial small subunit ribosomal RNA
Source: RNAcentral